AUGGCGGAGGGGUUCGCGGAGGAGGGCCGCCGGGGCGAGGAGCCGGAGUCGGUGACCCCGGCGGCGGCGGCUGGGUCCCAGGGGCUCGAGGACAGCCGGCUGCUGCGGUCGCGGUACCUCGCCGUCAAGAGCCAGAUCAACGACGAGAAGGAUGAAAUGGCGAGUGCGGACUCCGUCAAGUUCCAGUCCGUCAUUUCGCAGGUGGAGAGCCUGCACGUACAUGUUCAUAAGCCCAGGGAGCAGGUAGCUGAUGCAGAGGCAUUGCUGGACAUUGCCAGCAGUUUGGCAGCAUCUGUAAGGUCCCAGUCAGCACUAGGAAUCACGCCUUCUCAUUUAGUUGCCGCACUCCUCAACAAGUUUGGGACACAAGGAGAUGCCGAUGGUGAGGGUGCCUCGUUGAGAUGGUCUGCUGUUGGGCUUGCUGCGUCUCAUGUCUUCAUGGCUGUGCCUGGAUGCUGCACCAUGUUUGGUCCCAUGACGACAGAAGUGAAGCCACGGAGAACACAUACCAUUAGAAAAAGGACUGCAAGGCCGAGUAGAAACGAUCGCCCUGAACAGCUUGCUGAUCCAGAGACAACGACUGAUACAGACAGGAACAUGGCUGCUCUGUUUAAUGUUCUGAGGAAGAAGAAAAAAGCAAGGCUCGAAAACCUUGUUUUGAACAGAACGUCCUUUGCCCAAACGGUGGAGAACAUAUUUGCCUUGUCAUUCCUAGUUAAAGACGGCAGAGUGGAAAUGAAUGUGAAUGACGAUGGGCAUCAUAUCCUCUCUCCAAGAAAUGCACCUGCAGCUGGUGCAAUUGCCUCAGGAGAAGUGAAAUACAACCAUUUUGUCUUCAGAUAUGAUUUUAAAGACUGGCAGCUCAUGAAAGGGAUCGUCGUGGAGGGGGAAGAACUGAUGGCGCACAGGCCGCCUUCUCUCAGCACGUCUGGAGGAAAUACCCAGGCGGAGAUGCCUUCUCGCAGCACGCCUGGAGUAAAUAACCAGGGGGAGGUGCCGGCACGUGGCACGCCUGGAGGCAACGAGGAACCCAUGACGCCUGCGCAUGGCAUGUCCGGGGGAAACAACGAGCCUGAGAUGCACGCGCACACAACUUCAAUCAGGAAGCACUGCAGGAACCGGGGCCUGGUCACACAAGCGCGGCAAGACGAGACGACAGCCAUGGACAAUACGCAGGAUGAGGCGAUCCGCACGGUGGUCAAGCGGGAGGACAUGGAGAUGGCCAAGGACAGGCAGGAGAUGGUCCAGACGUACAAGCGCAAGCGAUCUGAUCGCCAUCCACCCGCCGGCGGCCACCGUGCACAUGCGUCUUGGGGUUCCUUUGGCGUCGGUAAAGAGUUUACCCGGCUGACCUAG
RNAcentral lists this ribosomal RNA (1356 nucleotides) under Triticum aestivum (bread wheat). RNAcentral describes it as "partial small subunit ribosomal RNA". Lineage: Eukaryota; Viridiplantae; Streptophyta; Magnoliopsida; Poales; Poaceae. The record is from RNAcentral.